RNAcentral lists this ribosomal RNA (442 nucleotides) under uncultured bacterium. Its description in RNAcentral is "partial 16S ribosomal RNA". It matches the Rfam family "Bacterial small subunit ribosomal RNA", at positions 338 to 795 of the family's 1533-position model. The record is from RNAcentral.
CCUACGGGAGACAGCAGUGGGGAAUAUUGGGCAAUGGGCGCAAGCCUGACCCAGCAAUGCCGCGUGAAGGAAGAAGGCUUUCGGGUGGUAAACGUCUGUGAGAGGGGAAGAGCAGAAGAAGGUACCCGGAAAACAAGCCACGGCUAACUACGGGCCAGCAGCCGCGGUAAUACGUAGGUGGCAAGCGUUGUCCGGAUUUACGGGGGGUAAAGGGCGUGUAGCCGGGAAGGCAAGUCAGAUGUGAAAUCCGGAGGCUCAACCUCCGAAUUGCCUUUGAAACUGUUUUUCUUGAGUACUGGAGAGGCAGGCGGAAUUCCUUGUGUAGCGGUGAAAUGCGUAGAUAUCAGGAGGAACCCCAGUGGCGAAGGCGGUCUGCUGGACGGCAACUGACGGUGAGGCGCGAAAGCGUGGGGAGCAAACAGGAUUAGAUACCCGGGUAGUC